This is a non-coding RNA of Pocillopora verrucosa, 312 nucleotides long. The record is from RefSeq and is a predicted model, not a curated record. Lineage: Eukaryota; Metazoa; Cnidaria; Anthozoa; Scleractinia; Pocilloporidae.
UGUUUAAUGUGGAAUUGUGGCCCUAAAAGAACACAGCCUCAGGUAAAUAACCGCCUGCACGUGGACAUGACAUGGCGAGGAAAGUCAAAGAUUUGGAAACAAAUGCUCUGAAGUCUGUGUGAAGAGGCGACGAUAUGAUGGGGAUGAACUGGUCCUAGAGAAAAGAUCAGAUCUGUUGAGGAGGCAAAGAAACUCUUAGGAUGGUUACCCUUCAAACGCUCUUUGGAUCACCGUAUUGUUUCAAGUCAAGCAAGACUCAAAGAACAAGAAAGAAAAACAAUUUCACAAGCGAUAGACAAGUUUACAGCAAAG